GUGCGGGUGCUAAUACAUGCAAGUCGAGCGAAUGGAUUAAGAGCUUGCUCUUAUGAAGUUAGCGGCGGACGGGUGAGUAACACGUGGGUAACCUGCCCAUAAGACUGGGAUAACUCCGGGAAACCGGGGCUAAUACCGGAUAACAUUUUGAACUGCAUGGUUCGAAAUUGAAAGGCGGCUUCGGCUGUCACUUAUGGAUGGACCCGCGUCGCAUUAGCUAGUUGGUGAGGUAACGGCUCACCAAGGCAACGAUGCGUAGCCGACCUGAGAGGGUGAUCGGCCACACUGGGACUGAGACACGGCCCAGACUCCUACGGGAGGCAGCAGUAGGGAAUCUUCCGCAAUGGACGAAAGUCUGACGGAGCAACGCCGCGUGAGUGAUGAAGGCUUUCGGGUCGUAAAACUCUGUUGUUAGGGAAGAACAAGUGCUAGUUGAAUAAGCUGGCACCUUGACGGUACCUAACCAGAAAGCCACGGCUAACUACGUGCCAGCAGCCGCGGUAAUACGUAGGUGGCAAGCGUUAUCCGGAAUUAUUGGGCGUAAAGCGCGCGCAGGUGGUUUCUUAAGUCUGAUGUGAAAGCCCACGGCUCAACCGUGGAGGGUCAUUGGAAACUGGGAGACUUGAGUGCAGAAGAGGAAAGUGGAAUUCCAUGUGUAGCGGUGAAAUGCGUAGAGAUAUGGAGGAACACCAGUGGCGAAGGCGACUUUCUGGUCUGUAACUGACACUGAGGCGCGAAAGCGUGGGGAGCAAACAGGAUUAGAUACC
Molecule: ribosomal RNA, 767 nt
Filed under: Bacillus cereus
Lineage: Bacteria; Bacillati; Bacillota; Bacilli; Caryophanales; Bacillaceae
Description: bacterial SSU rRNA
Rfam family: Bacterial small subunit ribosomal RNA
Source: RNAcentral